Molecule: transfer RNA, 72 nt
Filed under: Agama impalearis
Lineage: Eukaryota; Metazoa; Chordata; Lepidosauria; Squamata; Agamidae
Description: tRNA-Asn
Source: RNAcentral
CAGAAUCAGUGGGCCUCGAUCCCACAAAAAAUAGUUAACAGCUAUUCACCUAAACCAGCAAGUAUCAAUUCA